GCCGCGUGUGUGANGAAGGCCUUAGGGUUGUAAAGCACUUUCAGUAAGGAGGAAAGGUUAGUAGUUAAUACCUGCUAGCUGUGACGUUACUUACAGAAGAAGCACCGGCUAACUCCGUGCCAGCAGCCGCGGUAAUACGGAGGGUGCGAGCGUUAAUCGGAAUUACUGGGCGUAAAGCGUACGCAGGCGGUUUGUUAAGCGAGAUGUGAAAGCCCCGGGCUCAACCUGGGAACUGCAUUUCGAACUGGCAAACUAGAGUGUGAUAGAGGGUGGUAGAAUUUCAGGUGUAGCGGUGAAAUGCGUAGAGAUCUGAAGGAAUACCGAUGGCGAAGGCAGCCACCUGGGUCAACACUGACGCUCAUGUACGAAAGCGUGGGGAGCAAACAGGAUUAGAUACCCUGGUAGUCCACGCCGUAAACGAUGUCUACUAGGAGCUGGGGUCUUCGGACAACUUUUCCAAAGCUAACGCAUUAAGUAGACCGCCUGGGGAGUACGGCCGCAAGGUUAAAACUCAAAUGAAUUGACGGGGGCCCGCACAAGCGGUGGAGCAUGUGGUUUAAUUCGAUGCAACGCGAAGAACCUUACCUACACUUGACAUACAGAGAACUUACCAGAGAUGGUUUGGUGCCUUCGGGAACUCUGAUACAGGUGCUGCAUGGCUGUCGUCAGCUCGUGUUGUGAGAUGUUGGGUUAAGUCCCGCAACGAGCGCAACCCC
RNAcentral lists this ribosomal RNA (716 nucleotides) under Pseudoalteromonas sp. RNAcentral describes it as "bacterial SSU rRNA". It matches the Rfam family "Bacterial small subunit ribosomal RNA", at positions 396 to 1105 of the family's 1533-position model. The record is from RNAcentral. Lineage: Bacteria; Pseudomonadati; Pseudomonadota; Gammaproteobacteria; Alteromonadales; Pseudoalteromonadaceae.